This 529-nucleotide ribosomal RNA is filed under the name uncultured bacterium. RNAcentral's name for it is "bacterial SSU rRNA". It matches the Rfam family "Bacterial small subunit ribosomal RNA", at positions 8 to 526 of the family's 1533-position model. The record is from RNAcentral.
AGGGUUUGAUCAUGGCUCAGAUUGAACGCUGGCGGCAUGCUUUACACAUGCAAGUCGGACGGCAGCAUAAAAGAGCUUGCUCUUUUGAUGGCGAGUGGCGAACGGGUGAGUAAUGCAUCGGAACGUACCGAGUAGUGGGGGAUAACUGUCCGAAAGGAUGGCUAAUACCGCAUAUUCUCUGAGGAGGAAAGCAGGGGACCUUAGGGCCUUGCGCUAUUUGAGCGGCCGAUGUCUGAUUAGCUAGUUGGUGGGGUAAGAGCCCACCAAGGCGACGAUCAGUAGCGGGUCUGAGAGGAUGAUCCGCCACACUGGGACUGAGACACGGCCCAGACUCCUACGGGAGGCAGCAGUGGGGAAUAUUGGACAAUGGGCGGAAGCCUGAUCCAGCCAUGCCGCGUGUGUGAAGAAGGCCUUAGGGUUGUAAAGCACUUUCAGGGGUGAGGAAGGGUAGCUAGUUAAUACCUAGUUAUCUUGACGUUAGCCCCAGAAGAAGCACCGGCUAACUCUGUGCCAGCCGCCGCGGUAAUAC